This 75-nucleotide transfer RNA is filed under the name Candidatus Spechtiibacteriota bacterium. Its description in RNAcentral is "tRNA-Pro". It matches the Rfam family "tRNA". From Rfam's summary of the family: Transfer RNA (tRNA) molecules are approximately 80 nucleotides in length. Their secondary structure includes four short double-helical elements and three loops (D, anti-codon, and T loops). Further hydrogen bonds mediate the characteristic L-shaped molecular structure. tRNAs have two regions of fundamental functional importance: the anti-codon, which is responsible for specific mRNA codon recognition, and the 3' end, to which the tRNAs corresponding amino acid is attached (by aminoacyl-tRNA synthetases). tRNAs cope with the degeneracy of the genetic code in two manners: having more than one tRNA (with a specific anti-codon) for a particular amino acid; and 'wobble' base-pairing, i.e. permitting non-standard base-pairing at the 3rd anti-codon position. The record is from RNAcentral. Lineage: Bacteria; Candidatus Spechtiibacteriota.
CGGGCUGUAGUAUAAAGGUUAUUAUGUGCGCUCGGGGAGCGUACGAUCCCGGUUCAAUUCCGGGCAGCCCGACCA